UAUUAAAAAAAACGCAGAACAGAGGAGUCUAUUGGCAAAAUAGAACGCGACAGAGCUCGCAAUAACGAGAAGCAAUGUUGGCUUGGAGAUGGCAAGAAUUUAGGGAUUUGAAAUCUUGGCCUAAACGCGACGCGGAGAUGGUAUUUUUAUUGCUCAAGAGAAGAAAGAAACUCUUACAGAUUUGCAACAUGAGGGAGGUUCGUGACCCUGCGAGUCUUUUCAACAUGGCUGCAUGCUCCUCCAUCUGUCUCUGUGCAUGCGGCUGUCUGUCUCCCCCUGCCGUGUCCCGGCUCUAAACCAUGUGGGUCAUGUCUGGGUGUGGGAAGAGUGUCGCGGCGUUCCACAAAGCCGUGUUUUCUUCCAGAGUGUUGUCUCCGAAAGCUGGAAUGCUUCAGUGAUGCUGGAAUGUUUUUCUCAGUGUCGUACAGUCGUAUCUUCCCUUUGAACUUGAGGAGUGACUCUGUUGUGUUUUCACAGUCCGUAAAUCAACAGGACGGCUUUCAAUAGCAAUCCUCAAGCCCUGCUGGCGUUGGUAACGUCAAUGUUAAUAAGUGUUUUAUUUUUUUUGAAUGACAUAAUUCAAAAAAAAAAAAAUGUUGUGUCUGGUUAUUAGGUUUGUUUUUAGU
Pimephales promelas (fathead minnow) is the source of this 626-nucleotide long non-coding RNA. RefSeq lists it as uncharacterized. The record is from RefSeq and is a predicted model, not a curated record. NCBI's taxonomy places the organism in Eukaryota, Metazoa, Chordata, Actinopteri, Cypriniformes, Leuciscidae.